GAUGAACGCUGGCGGCGUGCCUAAUACAUGCAAGUCGAGCGAACAGACGAGGAGCUUGCUCCUCUGACGUUAGCGGCGGACGGGUGAGUAACACGUGGAUAACCUACCUAUAAGACUGGGAUAACUUCGGGAAACCGGAGCUAAUACCGGAUAAUAUAUUGAACCGCAUGGUUCAAUAGUGAAAGACGGUUUUGCUGUCACUUAUAGAUGGAUCCGCGCCGCAUUAGCUAGUUGGUAAGGUAACGGCUUACCAAGGCAACGAUGCGUAGCCGACCUGAGAGAGUGAUCGGCCACACUGGAACUGAGACACGGUCCAGACUCCUACGGGAGGCAGCAGUAGGGAAUCUUCCGCAAUAGGCGAAAGCCUGACGGAGCAACGCCGCGUGAGUGAUGAAGGUCUUCGGAUCGUAAAGCUCUGUUAUUAGGGAAGAACAAAUGUGUAAGUAACUAUGCACGUCUUGACGGUACCUAAUCAGGAAGCCACGGCUAACUACGUG
This 497-nucleotide ribosomal RNA is filed under the name uncultured bacterium. RNAcentral's name for it is "partial 16S ribosomal RNA". It matches the Rfam family "Bacterial small subunit ribosomal RNA", at positions 28 to 507 of the family's 1533-position model. The record is from RNAcentral.